CAAAACGCGUGCGCGCGCGUGCAUGCAAGAGCACACCGAUUUCUGGAGCGUGUCCGUUCACGAGGGGACACGCUGCCGCGAGAUCUCCUCUUCCUCUUGUUCUAGAGAUCUUAUCGAGGCCGAACUCACACUGACGACGCUCGGAAAAAGAGGUCGAACCGAUUUAAUUAAUUCGUCGAGCAGGACUUUGUCGGGGGAUAGAAACGUUCCGGAAAUGGAAAGUUACCGAUCAGUGCCUUGGAUAAUGAGAACUAUCCUGCAGUGAGCGAAAUGUCUGCAGCGAUACGCUAGCGGUUUUCCAGCGGACUUCUAGAGAAUAUUACGGCAAAUUGACGUCAUCUGCGUCCGCAUUAAGCUCCUGUUCCGCUAACAUAAUCUAACAACAGAAACAGGAGUAGAAGUUCUGCCAUCCGUGUAACUAUUAAAAUGAUAGAUUUUGCUCGGUU
Molecule: long non-coding RNA, 446 nt
Organism: Wasmannia auropunctata (little fire ant)
Lineage: Eukaryota; Metazoa; Arthropoda; Insecta; Hymenoptera; Formicidae
Exons: 2
Source: RefSeq, a predicted model, not a curated record